UACGGAGGGAGCUAGCGUUGUUCGGAAUUACUGGGCGUAAAGCGCACGUAGGCGGCUAUUCAAGUCGGGGGGUGAAAGCCCGGGGCUCAACCCCGGAACUGCCCUCGAAACUAGAUAGCUAGAAUCUUGGAGAGGCGAGUGGAAUUCCGAGUGUAGAGGUGAAAUUCGUAGAUAUUCGGAAGAACACCAGUGGCGAAGGCGACUCGCUGGACAAGUAUUGACGCUGAGGUGCGAAAGCGUGGGGAGCAAACAGG
RNAcentral lists this ribosomal RNA (254 nucleotides) under uncultured bacterium. Its description in RNAcentral is "partial 16S ribosomal RNA". It matches the Rfam family "Bacterial small subunit ribosomal RNA", at positions 524 to 776 of the family's 1533-position model. The record is from RNAcentral.